This 971-nucleotide ribosomal RNA is filed under the name uncultured bacterium. RNAcentral describes it as "partial 16S ribosomal RNA". The record is from RNAcentral.
UAAGGAGGUGUUCCAACCCAGUUCACUGGCCAGCAGUUGCAACCAUUCGAUGCCGCCAAUCAGCAAUGCCACGAGCACCCCGAUACCGGUGACCGCGGUGUUGAACACCAGCUCGCGCACUGCAUCGGACAUCGCCCAGUCAUAGAUGCGCAGCAUCACCAGACCAUCGAGCGUAUCCAUCAGGCUCAUGCCGGCGGUAAACAGCAGCGGAAACACCAUCACGCCCCAGAGACUCAUGGCGCCAUGCUGGGCAAGGCUCGCGGACAGGCCCAGGAUCGCGAUUUCGGUGGCGGUAUCAAAACCGAGGCCAAACAGAAACCCGAUCGGGUACAUCUGCCAACUGGCGUGGAUGCGCCCGUACAGGCGCCGGAACACGCGCGACAUGAAGCCGCGCUGCUCCAGUAGCGCAUCGGUGUUGGCUUGCUCAAUGUCCGUUCCGCCGGCGCGUGUGCGCUUCAAUGCCCGCAGCAGCAGGAUGAGGAUGCGCAGGUUGACCAGACCAAUCACAGUCAGGAACAGGGCCGAGACCACGGUGCCGACCACGCCGCCCAUGCCGCGCAUCAGCGCCAUGUGCGAUUCGGUUUCCCGGGCCGCCAGCGCGAGCCCCAGCGACAGCAGAAUCACCACCGUCGAGUGACCGAGCGAGAAAAACAGACCGACGCUGCCGGGGCGCUGGCCAUCCUGGCGCACUUGCGCGUCACGUUGUCGAUCGCGGCGAUGUGAUCGGCAUCGAAGGCAUGGCGCAGGCCAAAGAAAUACGCCAUCGAGCCGAUGCCGAACAGGGCGGCGUCGUGUCCGGCCACGGCAAGCAGCGCCGGCCAGGCGCACAGGUUCAAAAAAACCACGAAGCCCAGCGGGGCCGCGCCGCGUUUCAUCCAGGACCCGGGCGAAGGGGUGGAGUCGGUGUACACGUUGAAUAGCCUCAACAGAUCCUUGGGAGUUGCUCGCCGCUGAGCCAGGAUCAAACUCUA